RNAcentral lists this ribosomal RNA (466 nucleotides) under uncultured bacterium. Its description in RNAcentral is "partial 16S ribosomal RNA". It matches the Rfam family "Bacterial small subunit ribosomal RNA", at positions 28 to 507 of the family's 1533-position model. The record is from RNAcentral.
GAUGAACGCUGGCGGCGUGCUUUACACAUGCAAGUCGAACGAUGAAGCCCAGCUUGCUGGGUGGAUUAGUGGCGAACGGGUGAGUAACACGUGAGUAACCUGCCCUUAACUCUGGGAUAAGCCUGGGAAACUGGGUCUAAUACCGGAUAGGAGCGCCUACCGCAUGGUGGGUGUUGGAAAGAUUUAUCGGUUUUGGAUGGACUCGCGGCCUAUCAGCUUGUUGGUGAGGUAAUGGCUCACCAAGGCGACGACGGGUAGCCGGCCUGAGAGGGUGACCGGCCACACUGGGACUGAGACACGGCCCAGACUCCUACGGGAGGCAGCAGUGGGGAAUAUUGCACAAUGGGCGAAAGCCUGAUGCAGCGACGCCGCGUGAGGGAUGACGGCCUUCGGGUUGUAAACCUCUUUCAGUAGGGAAGAAGCGAAAGUGACGGUACCUGCAGAAGAAGCACCGGCUAACUACGUG